AGGGGCAGCAUGAACUUAGCUUGCUAAGUUUGAUGGCGACCGGCGCACGGGUGAGUAACACGUAUCCAACCUGCCGAUGACUCGGGGAUAGCCUUUCGAAAGAAAGAUUAAUACCCGAUGGCAUAGUUCUUCCGCAUGGUAGAACUAUUAAAGAAUUUCGGUCAUCGAUGGGGAUGCGUUCCAUUAGGUUGUUGGCGGGGUAACGGCCCACCAAGCCUUCGAUGGAUAGGGGUUCUGAGAGGAAGGUCCCCCACAUUGGAACUGAGACACGGUCCAAACUCCUACGGGAGGCAGCAGUGAGGAAUAUUGGUCAAUGGACGAGAGUCUGAACCAGCCAAGUAGCGUGAAGGAUGACUGCCCUAUGGGUUGUAAACUUCUUUUAUACGGGAAUAAAGUGAGGCACGCGUGCCUUUUUGUAUGUACCGUAUGAAUAAGGAUCGGCUAACUCCGUGCCAGCAGCCGCGGUAAUACGGAGGAUCCGAGCGUUAUCCGGAUUUAUUGGGUUUAAAGGGAGCGUAGGCGGACGCUUAAGUCAGUUGUGAAAGUUUGCGGCUCAACCGUAAAAUUGCAGUUGAUACUGGGUGUCUUGAGUACAGUAGAGGCAGGCGGAAUUCGUGGUGUAGCGGUGAAAUGCUU
RNAcentral lists this ribosomal RNA (636 nucleotides) under uncultured bacterium. RNAcentral describes it as "bacterial SSU rRNA". It matches the Rfam family "Bacterial small subunit ribosomal RNA", at positions 65 to 691 of the family's 1533-position model. The record is from RNAcentral.